ACUUUAAUAGCUUAUAUAGAGUAUAAUAUUGAAGAUAUUAGGGAGAUUUUUUGAUUUUAAAGUA
Molecule: transfer RNA, 64 nt
Filed under: Rhagophthalmus giganteus
Lineage: Eukaryota; Metazoa; Arthropoda; Insecta; Coleoptera; Rhagophthalmidae
Description: tRNA-Phe
Source: RNAcentral